RNAcentral lists this transfer RNA (77 nucleotides) under Syntrophobacteraceae bacterium. RNAcentral's name for it is "tRNA-Thr". It matches the Rfam family "tRNA". Rfam says of the family: Transfer RNA (tRNA) molecules are approximately 80 nucleotides in length. Their secondary structure includes four short double-helical elements and three loops (D, anti-codon, and T loops). The record is from RNAcentral. Lineage: Bacteria; Pseudomonadati; Thermodesulfobacteriota; Syntrophobacteria; Syntrophobacterales; Syntrophobacteraceae.
GCCCACGUAGCUCAGCAGGUAGAGCACUUCCUUGGUAAGGAAGAGGUUCACCGGUUCGACCCCGGUCGUGGGCUCCA